ACUUGAAUAGUUUAGGAUAAAAUAUUGAUUUGUGGGGUUAAAGAUGUAAUAAAGAUUACUUCAGGUU
Molecule: transfer RNA, 67 nt
Filed under: Byrsotria cabrerai
Lineage: Eukaryota; Metazoa; Arthropoda; Insecta; Blattodea; Blaberidae
Description: tRNA-His
Source: RNAcentral